Non-coding RNA from Coemansia helicoidea, 82 nucleotides. The record is from the annotation of a GenBank genome assembly. Lineage: Eukaryota; Fungi; Kickxellomycota; Kickxellomycetes; Kickxellales; Kickxellaceae.
AGUCACAUGGCCGAGUGGUUAAGGCGGUGGACUUAAGAUCCACUCCCGGAUGGGAUCGUGGGUUCGAACCCCACUGUGACUA